This 97-nucleotide non-coding RNA is filed under the name Legionella micdadei. RNAcentral's name for it is "Tatlockia micdadei TPP sequence". It matches the Rfam family "TPP riboswitch aptamer (THI element)". From Rfam's summary of the family: Vitamin B(1) in its active form thiamin pyrophosphate (TPP) is an essential coenzyme that is synthesised by coupling of pyrimidine and thiazole moieties in bacteria. The previously detected thiamin-regulatory element, thi box was extended, resulting in a new, highly conserved RNA secondary structure, the THI element, which is widely distributed in eubacteria and also occurs in some archaea. Analysis of operon structures identified a large number of new candidate thiamin-regulated genes, mostly transporters, in various prokaryotic organisms. The record is from Rfam by way of RNAcentral. Lineage: Bacteria; Pseudomonadati; Pseudomonadota; Gammaproteobacteria; Legionellales; Legionellaceae.
AAAAUUCACCAGGGGUGCUUUGGUUAACAAAGCUGAGAAAAACCCUUAGAACCUGCACUGGGUAAUGCCUGCGGAGGGAGAGUGAAAGUGCCAUGUU